UUUUUUGGUCGGCAGCCCAUUCGCUCAUCAAUCAUCUCGCGAUCUCGAUUGUGAGACCUUUUCUCUUCUUCUCUUCGUUCAUGUUCCUUCUUACGAUCAAUCAAUUCUCUCCCCACUCCUGAUUGCUCCUUAAUCGUAUAGUUAAUGGAAUCUCUUCGAUUUCUCAUUCUGAACUCUAUGGAACGUUUCGGUUUGAUUCCUGUUAGAUCCUAUAUAAAUAUCUCCUUAGGUUUUAGUUUUUCUCCAAACAAUUGUUCAAUCCUCUCGACUGCUCAUUACGAUGACGUUAUCCGACUCACAGAAAAUGAUCGGCGAAUCCGUGGUCUCCUCCGGUCCGGUCAAACCCGUCGAUCAGACAAGGCUUCUGGGCCAAUAAUAAUUCUUAGUGGUCCCACUUGAACCCCAUCUCAAAAAACAUAUAAACUCCGAUGAGAGCGAUUAUCGAUCGACUUCUCUUCGUCGUCGUUUGGAAUCACAGCAAUUCACCGUUAUCAGAUACCCUUUUUGGUUUAGCUUGAUGGGUUGUGAUUAAAUUCUCAAGCUUUUGGCUUCCAUGAGCUUCGUGUACUGUUUUUUUUUCUGCUUUGUUGUUUUGUUGUUGCUGUUACAGUUUGUUCAUUGGAACUUGGAUUAAGGACAGUCUCAUGAGACAUUACUUCUUCAGUGCAUGAGCUCUCUGGGUUUUUUCUUUCUUGAACGUUUCGUAGUUCUCUUAAGCUUUGUUUUUGUUUUUCUUUAAGCUGAUUCUUGGUAGUAUGUUGAUUUGCUAGAUAACAAUGAAAGUCACAAGAAGCAAGAAUGUCCAGAUUCCCAAACCCCACCACCGACCGGCUCCUUCAGGACCGUGUUCUGAAUCUACAAGCUCCGUCUACUCUGAGCCGAUGAGAUUGGCCUUGCUUGAGAUUUGGAGUUUCUAAAUGUGUAACAAGGGCAUGAGAAAACUCUGUGGUCGUCGUCGCAAGUGUCAACUAUUCGAUGUGGCAUCAAUAGACUGAGAACUCAAGUGGUGCUAUUGGAGCUAGGCUUUCUGCUGAUGUUGCCACGGAUUGUGGUUUAAAGACGAGAAUGAACGAGGAAACAAGCCUAGAAGCGGACAUGAGUAUAAGAACCGCUCCUUCAUUCCAGGAGAAAGUGAUGAAAACAUAUAUGAAGAAAUCUGCAAUGUUCUACAAAAGCAAGAAUACUUCAAAACAUAGUUAGUGCUUUGGUUUGAGAGAGCGGAAUCAGGAAAGCAACAGUAACUGAGCUGCUGUUGAAGUUUUGCAAUCCUGGAUGAGGUCAACACUUUUGACGGAUUGGAGAUUAGUACCUUCAGCUGGAAUGGCCAGCACAGCAAACCGGGCUAUGAUCAUUGGUGGGUGAAAAAGGAGUUCAAUGAUCAGGCGGUCAUAAGUUGAGAGUGGCCAUAGUCAGAUAAAAUUUUGAACACCCUCCGCUGUUGCUGCUGAAUGAAGCAACAAUUGCUUUGAUGCUUAGUCAGUGUGUGGUUCAAUAUACAGUGGACCGGAUCGUUGUUAACACAUCGGUUUUCAACAAUCAACUCUUAUUAUCAACAAUCAAGAACUCAUGUAUUUUUUAUUUAUUUAAUUAACUCAUGUAAUUAUAGUGGUUAAAAAUGGAGUCAACGUGGUGGAGAAAGGAAGGCAAGAGACUUAGAUAGAUAUAAAAGAUGGAGAAUUAUUUGA
RNA transcript from Raphanus sativus (radish), 1685 nucleotides. RefSeq lists it as uncharacterized. The record is from RefSeq and is a predicted model, not a curated record. The transcript is spliced from 6 exons. Lineage: Eukaryota; Viridiplantae; Streptophyta; Magnoliopsida; Brassicales; Brassicaceae.